Molecule: small RNA, 68 nt
Organism: Catenulispora acidiphila DSM 44928
Lineage: Bacteria; Bacillati; Actinomycetota; Actinomycetes; Catenulisporales; Catenulisporaceae
Rfam family: ASdes TB sRNA
Source: Rfam
AGCGCCACCGGGUCGACGGCGCGGGUGGUCAGCAGGUAGUCGCGGAUCGCGAUGCCGUGCCGGCCCUC